Oncorhynchus keta (chum salmon) is the source of this 324-nucleotide long non-coding RNA. RefSeq lists it as uncharacterized. The transcript has 3 exons. The record is from RefSeq and is a predicted model, not a curated record. NCBI's taxonomy places the organism in Eukaryota, Metazoa, Chordata, Actinopteri, Salmoniformes, Salmonidae.
CCCUAAACGUUAUGUUACCAUGGCAACUCUAAAGUUAUACAACUUUCAACGGAAAAGAAACUUUGACCUCAGAUUCAUUAACCAAUGAGAGAGAAGCUGAAUUUGCCGGUGGACCGAUCAGCUUUGUGUCAGGUCGACAACUGUAUCUUCCUCUCAUCCUCUCAUUCAGCACAGAUCAGAAGCAGGUGUCAAAUGCCAUUGCAUUGAAGGUGUGAUUACUUUGGAUUACAGAAAGAGACUUGAAAUGAGUGGAAGAAGGAGGGGGCAGCCCAACAGAGGUGGAGGGCGAUUUAACAAGCCCAGAGGAGGAGGAAGAGGGGGAGG